This 207-nucleotide ribosomal RNA is filed under the name uncultured bacterium. Its description in RNAcentral is "partial 16S ribosomal RNA". It matches the Rfam family "Bacterial small subunit ribosomal RNA", at positions 568 to 774 of the family's 1533-position model. The record is from RNAcentral.
CUCGUAGGCGGCCAACUAAGUCAGACGUGAAAUCCCUCGGCUUAACCGGGGAACUGCGUCUGAUACUGGAUGGCUUGAGAUUGGGAGAGGGAUGCGGAAUUCCAGGUGUAGCGGUGAAAUGCGUAGAUAUCUGGAGGAACACCGGUGGCGAAGGCGGCAUCCUGGACCAACACUGACGCUGAUGAGCGAAAGCCAGGGGAGCAAACG